GACGAACGCUGGCGGCGUGCUUAACACAUGCAAGUCGAACGGAAAGGCCCUGCUUUUGUGGGGUGCUCGAGUGGCGAACGGGUGAGUAACACGUGAGUAACCUGCCCUUGACUUUGGGAUAACUUCAGGAAACUGGGGCUAAUACCGGAUAGGAGCUCCUGCUGCAUGGUGGGGGUUGGAAAGUUUCGGCGGUUGGGGAUGGACUCGCGGCUUAUCAGCUUGUUGGUGGGGUAGUGGCUUACCAAGGCUUUGACGGGUAGCCGGCCUGAGAGGGUGACCGGCCACAUUGGGACUGAGAUACGGCCCAGAGUCCUACGGGAGGCAGAAGUGGGGAAUAUUGCCCAAUGGGCGGAAGCCUGAUGCAGCAACGCCGCGUGCGGGAUGACGGCCUUCGGGUUGUAAACCGCUUUCGCCUGUGACGAAGCGUGAGUGACGGUAAUGGGUAAAGAAGCACCGGCUAACUACGUG
This 468-nucleotide ribosomal RNA is filed under the name uncultured bacterium. RNAcentral's name for it is "partial 16S ribosomal RNA". It matches the Rfam family "Bacterial small subunit ribosomal RNA", at positions 28 to 507 of the family's 1533-position model. The record is from RNAcentral.